AUUUUGGAUAUAUAUAUAUAUAUAUUUAUAUAUAUAUAUAUAUAUGUAUAUAUAUGGUGAUUUAUUUACCAAGAAACAAGAGUUGUUCAUAAAAUAAUGGGUUUAAAAAACAGAAGAUAAACACAAUUGUUCCAGAAGUUAAAGCUUAUAGGUAUAAUGAUGACAAAAUGGCUUGCUCAACCUUUUACUUCUACUCCAUUCUCCUGACUUUAUCUCCUGAUGUUGAUUUUCAAAUUGCAGUAUUUAAAAAAAUCCUCAAACUUUAUUUCCCUCAUAUCCAGGCACUAUAUGACAUAAAAUGAAGUUUUGCAAACAUUAUGCUUGUUACUCAUCUCUGGUAACACGUUUCUCAGCGUUUUCCUUUUUUUGUCU
Molecule: long non-coding RNA, 372 nt
Organism: Dipodomys ordii (Ord's kangaroo rat)
Lineage: Eukaryota; Metazoa; Chordata; Mammalia; Rodentia; Heteromyidae
Exons: 2
Source: RefSeq, a predicted model, not a curated record